GGAAAAAUGGGGGAAGUUUAUGUUUUACGAUUGCUAAAAAUAGUCUCAAGUAAUAAAUAAACUUUGGCUCGAAUUAAAACUGCUGAGGAGAAAAUAUCAAGAGAAGAAUAACGCUUAGUUAUUGACGCCUUAAUCCACCAAGCACAAGUGCUUUGUAACCUGAAAUUAAGCUAAGAAAUCAAAUUAGCAGCAAGGCUGAAAAAUCACUUACGAAGCGACUUCCUAUCCCUAGUAAAUUAUUCAAUUAGAGAACGUCCAUGAUUGAAAUUUACCUUUAAUUAUCUUUGUGUUGACCUGUUAAGGUUUUUAGAGAUUUAGAGACUUCGCCUGGCCUUAACCAAAGAAAAUCCACCAGCGACUUCUAAGAUUAAAUCUGAAGUUGUCUUAAUUAGCUACGGCCAAUUAAUUAUCACUAAUUCUAAGCUUAAUUGAGAAAUUCGAUUCCUCAAUUUGCACUUAAAUGAUUAUAAGAAAAUUUCCCAAAUUAAUUAGGUGAUCACUCCAAUUGCAUUAGGAAAAAAAUCUUUGGAAGAUAAAAUCAAACAAUUCAAGAAUGCCAAAUUUGAUUUUAGAACAAAAUAAAUUUUUAAAUCACUUGUGCUCGGUUUCAUAAGUGUCUAACUAAGCGUAAAUAAACUAGCCACUCAUAGCUAGUAAAACAACACGAAUCCAUUGAAAAGAACAUGAAUUACAAACUGAUUCUUGGAAGGUAAAGUUCUUCAAGUCGUCCGAUUUCCCUUCUCCAAUUAGCCGAAUUUACUAACUGCUACUCUAGCUCCUUGAUCGGAUUUGCUGGUCCAAUUCUAGAAAAUUCUGCUUGCUUGAAUCACGCCUUUCCUAUGCUGCUGUAUGUUUUUCUCUGUUUCUUCUCUCCGUUCCAGCUGCUGAUCUUCUCUAUUUAUGGGAUAAUAUCCUCCAAUCAAUUCAAAAAAUUAAAAUCAAUCUUAUCCCCCUUUAUCCUAGCUGAACCCAUCACAUGAA
RNAcentral lists this long non-coding RNA (981 nucleotides) under Gossypium raimondii (Peruvian cotton). Its description in RNAcentral is "long non-coding RNA (GRAI_LNC008582)". Lineage: Eukaryota; Viridiplantae; Streptophyta; Magnoliopsida; Malvales; Malvaceae. The record is from RNAcentral.